RNAcentral lists this long non-coding RNA (362 nucleotides) under Ananas comosus (pineapple). RNAcentral's name for it is "long non-coding RNA (ACOM_LNC015195)". The record is from RNAcentral. Lineage: Eukaryota; Viridiplantae; Streptophyta; Magnoliopsida; Poales; Bromeliaceae.
ACAUAGUCAUCUAUGUUAAAGAUAGGAUCAAAUUAUUAGUUAGAUUUUAGGGUUAAUUGCAUAUAGUUCUCUGUAAACAUAUUGAAUAACAAAUAUAUCCCUAUAAAGUUUAACUCUUUAUUUUUAUCCCUUACAAAAGUCCAGUAAUAUUUAUAUUUGUUCAUCUGAUUUGGUACCGUAAGAGCACUGUUUAUUUUUUUAAUAAUAGUUAAGUGAAAUGAUAUUUUUGCCCUUAUAAAUAUAUUCAUCCAAUAGCCCCAACUAUUAGAAUUAUGCAGAAAUAUUCUUCGAAAAAGUAUUUUACCCAAUAAUAUAAGAGAGGUAAAAAGGUUAAUUUAACUCAUAUACUAAUCAUGGUUAAU